This 332-nucleotide unclassified non-coding RNA is filed under the name soil metagenome. RNAcentral describes it as "partial contains 5.8S ribosomal RNA, internal transcribed spacer 2, and large subunit ribosomal RNA". The stretch from base 1 to 120 matches the Rfam family "5.8S ribosomal RNA", at positions 35 to 154 of the family's 154-position model. The record is from RNAcentral.
GAUGAAGAACGUAGCAAAAUGCGAUAAGUAAUGUGAAUUGCAGAAUUCAGUGAAUCAUCGAAUCUUUGAACGCACAUUGCGCCCGCCAGUAUUCUGGCGGGCAUGCCUGUUCGAGCGUCAUUUCAACCCUCAAGCACAGCUUGGUGUUGGGACUCGCGUUAAUUCGCGUUCCCCAAAUUGAUUGGCGGUCACGUCGAGCUUCCAUAGCGUAGUAGUAAAACCCUCGUUACUGGUAAUCGUCGCGGCCACGCCGUUAAACCCCAACGUCUGAAUGUUGACCUCGGAUCAGGUAGGAAUACCCGCUGAACUUAAGCAUAUCAAUAAGCGGAGGA